This 274-nucleotide ribosomal RNA is filed under the name uncultured bacterium. RNAcentral's name for it is "partial 16S ribosomal RNA". It matches the Rfam family "Bacterial small subunit ribosomal RNA", at positions 523 to 796 of the family's 1533-position model. The record is from RNAcentral.
AUACGGAGGGUGCAAGCGUUGUUCGGAAUCACUGGGCGUAAAGGGCGCGCAGGCGGUUUGGUAAGUCAGAUGUGAAAGCCCACGGCUCAACCGUGGAAGUGCAUUUGAAACUGCCAGACUUGAGUACCAGAGGGGAAAGUGGAAUUCCCGGUGAAGAGGUGAAAUUCGUAGAUAUCCGGAGGAAUACCGGUGGCGAAGGCGACUUUCUGGCUGGAUACCGACGCUGAGGCGCGAAAGCGUGGGGAGCAAACAGGAUUAGAAACCCGAGUAGUCC